This 496-nucleotide ribosomal RNA is filed under the name uncultured bacterium. RNAcentral describes it as "partial 16S ribosomal RNA". It matches the Rfam family "Bacterial small subunit ribosomal RNA", at positions 28 to 506 of the family's 1533-position model. The record is from RNAcentral.
GAUGAACGCUGGCGGCGUGCCUAAUACAUGCAAGUCGAGCGAACGGACGAGAAGCUUGCUUCUCUGAUGUUAGCGGCGGACGGGUGAGUAACACGUGGAUAACCUACCUAUAAGACUGGGAUAACUUCGGGAAACCGGAGCUAAUACCGGAUAAUAUUUUGAACCGCAUGGUUCAAAAGUGAAAGACGGUCUUGCUGUCACUUAUAGAUGGAUCCGCGCUGCAUUAGCUAGUUGGUAAGGUAACGGCUUACCAAGGCAACGAUGCAUAGCCGACCUGAGAGGGUGAUCGGCCACACUGGAACUGAGACACGGUCCAGACUCCUACGGGAGGCAGCAGUAGGGAAUCUUCCGCAAUGGGCGAAGGCCUGACGGAGCAACGCCGCGUGAGUGAUGAAGGUCUUCGGAUCGUAAAACUCUGUUAUUAGGGAAGAACAUAUGUGUAAGUAACUGUGCACAUCUUGACGGUACCUAAGCAGAAAGCCACGGCUAACUACGU